Molecule: transfer RNA, 69 nt
Filed under: Urocitellus parryii (Arctic ground squirrel)
Lineage: Eukaryota; Metazoa; Chordata; Mammalia; Rodentia; Sciuridae
Also listed under: 2 other names
Description: Spermophilus parryii (Arctic ground squirrel) tRNA
Rfam family: tRNA
About the family: Transfer RNA (tRNA) molecules are approximately 80 nucleotides in length. Their secondary structure includes four short double-helical elements and three loops (D, anti-codon, and T loops). Further hydrogen bonds mediate the characteristic L-shaped molecular structure. tRNAs have two regions of fundamental functional importance: the anti-codon, which is responsible for specific mRNA codon recognition, and the 3' end, to which the tRNAs corresponding amino acid is attached (by aminoacyl-tRNA synthetases). tRNAs cope with the degeneracy of the genetic code in two manners: having more than one tRNA (with a specific anti-codon) for a particular amino acid; and 'wobble' base-pairing, i.e. permitting non-standard base-pairing at the 3rd anti-codon position.
Source: Rfam by way of RNAcentral
GGGGUUGUGGCUCAGGAGUAGAGUACUCACCUAGCAUGUGUGAGGCCCUGGGUUCGAUCCUCAGCACCA